CGAACGGGUGAGGAACACGUGAAGAAUCUGCCUUCAACUCUGGGAUAACUCCGGGAAACCGGGGCUAAUACCGGAUAUGAGCCUUGGCCGCAUGGCCGGGGCUGGGAAGUUUUUCGGUUGAAGAUGACUUCGCGGCCUAUCAGCUUGUUGGUGAGGUAACGGCUCACCAAGGCGACGACGGGUAGCCGGCCUGAGAGGGCGACCGGCCACACUGGGACUGAGACACGGCCCAGACUCCUACGGGAGGCAGCAGUGGGGAAUAUUGGGCAAUGGAGGAAACUCUGACCCAGCGACGCCGCGUGAGGGAUGAAGGCCUUCGGGUUGUAAACCUCUUUCAGUAGGGAAGAAGCGAAAGUGACGGUACCUACAGAAGAAGCACCGGCUAACUAUGUGCCAGCAGCCGCGGUAAUACAUAGGGUGCAAGCGUUGUCCGGAAUUAUUGGGCGUAAAGAGCUCGUAGGUGGUUCGAUACGUCGGAUGUGAAAAUCAGGGGCUCAACCCCUGACCUGCAUUCGAUACGGUCGAGCUAGAGUUUGGUAGGGGAGACUGGAAUUCCUGGUGUAGCGGUGGAAUGCGCAGAUAUCAGGAGGAACACCGAUGGCGAAGGCAGGUCUCUGGGCCAAUACUGACACUGAGGAGCGAAAGCGUGGGGAGCGAACAGGAUUAGAUACCCUGGUAGUCCACGCCGUAAACGGUGGGCGCUAGUUGUGCGAACCUUCCACGGUUUGUGCGACGCAGCUAACGCAUUAAGCGCCCCGCCUGGGGAGUACGAUCGCAAGAUUAAAACUCAAAGGAAUUGACGGGGCCCCGCACAAGCAGCGGAGCAUGCGGCUUAAUUCGACGCAACGCGAAGAACCUUACCAAGGCUUGACAUAUACAGGAAUACGGCAGAGAUGUCGUAGCCGCAAGGUCUGUAUACAGGUGGUGCAUGGUUGUCGUCAGCUCGUGUCGUGAGAUGUUGGGUUAAGUCCCGCAACGAGCGCAACCCUCGUUCUGUGUUGCCAGCAUUACGCUUGGGGACUCACAGGAGACUGCCGGGGUUAACUCGGAGGAAGGUGGGGAUGACGUCAAAUCAUCAUGCCCCUUAUGUCUUGGGCUGCACCAAUGCUACAAUGGC
RNAcentral lists this ribosomal RNA (1117 nucleotides) under uncultured bacterium. RNAcentral describes it as "bacterial SSU rRNA". It matches the Rfam family "Bacterial small subunit ribosomal RNA", at positions 99 to 1234 of the family's 1533-position model. The record is from RNAcentral.